UCUCUCUCUGUCUGUAUCUGGCUCUGAGGGGCCUGUCUCUCUCUCUCUCUGUCUGUAUCUGGCUCUGAGGGGCCUGUCUCUCUCUCUCUCUGUCUGUAUCUGGCUCUGAGGGGCCUGUCUCUCUCUCUAUCUGUCUGUAUCUGGCUCUGAGGGGCCUGGGCCUGUCUCUCUCUCUCUCUCUCUGUAUCUGGCUCUGAGGGGCCUGUCUCUCUCUCUCUCUGUCUGUAUCUGGCUCUGAGGGGCCUGUCUCUCUCUCUCUCUGUCUGUAUCUGGCUCUGAGGGGCCUGUCUCUCUCUCUCUCUGUCUGUAUCUGGCUCUGAGGGGCCUGUCUCUCUCUCUCUCUCUGUAUCUGGCUCUGAGGGGCCUGUCUCUCUCUCUCUCUGUCUGUAUCUGGCUCUGAGGGGCCUGUCUCUCUCUCUCUCUGUCUGUAUCUGGCUCUGAGGGGCCUGUCUCUCUCUCUCUCUGUCUGUAUCUGGCUCUGAGGGGCCUGUCUCUCUCUCUCUGUGUCUGUAUCUGGCUCUGAGGGGCCUGUCUCUCUCUCUCUCUGUCUGUAUCUGGCUCUGAGGGGCCUGUCUCUCUCUCUCUCUGUCUGUAUCUGGCUCUGAGGGGCCAUGCUGAAGCCACCAGCCAGCCUGUCUCUCUCUCUCUGUGUCUGACCUCAAUGAGAACACAGCAGCUCGUUCUGUUCAUCAAUCAUUCAUCACCUAGUAGGGUGUCAGUGGGCCAGGUGUCCUUCCUGGUUGGAACUGUCUCCCUCGUUUCAGUAGGACCUGUAGACAUUAACGAGGUCCAGUAGGACCUGUAGACAUUAACGAGGUCCAGUAGGACCUGUAGACAUGAACGAGGUCCGGUAGGACCUGUAGACAUUAACGAGGUCCAGUAGGACCUGUAGACAUUAACGAGGUCCAGUAGGACCUGUAGACGCGGCCGGUCCGCGGGAACAUUAACGAGGUCCAGUAGGACCUGUAGACAUUAACGAGGUCCAGUAGGACCUGUAGACAUUAACGAGGUCCGGUAGGACCUGUAGACAUUAACGAGGUCCGGUAGGACCUGUAGACAUUAACGAGGUCCGGUAGGACCUGUAGACAUUAACGAGGUCCAGUAGGACCUGUAGACAUUAACGAGGUCCAGUAGGACCUGUAGACGCGGCCGGUCCGCGGGAACAUUAACGAGGUCCAGUAGGUUUAGUCAUUACAGAAGGGUGACUUGGUGAAGAGGAUUUUGAAUAUUGACUCUGUGGUCCUCAACCAGCCAGCAUGGAAGCUACUGGUGUUUAGAUUUUCAUUGGCUUCUCUCCAAGCUUGGCUCAAUGUGCAGGGAACUUUGUGUUUGCAUGAUAUGCCAACGGCUGUGUCCUCUAACCCAGCCUGGCAGUUAGGACUUAUCCUCUGUUACCAUAGAGACGUGUAUAUACUAGAAUCCUCUCUCUGU
RNAcentral lists this long non-coding RNA (1431 nucleotides) under Salmo salar (Atlantic salmon). RNAcentral describes it as "lncRNA (ENSSSAG00000087386.1)". Lineage: Eukaryota; Metazoa; Chordata; Actinopteri; Salmoniformes; Salmonidae. The record is from RNAcentral.